RNAcentral lists this ribosomal RNA (253 nucleotides) under Faecalibacterium prausnitzii. RNAcentral describes it as "partial 16S ribosomal RNA". It matches the Rfam family "Bacterial small subunit ribosomal RNA", at positions 524 to 776 of the family's 1533-position model. The record is from RNAcentral. Lineage: Bacteria; Bacillati; Bacillota; Clostridia; Eubacteriales; Oscillospiraceae.
AACGUAGGUCACAAGCGUUGUCCGGAAUUACUGGGUGUAAAGGGAGCGCAGGCGGGAAGACAAGUUGGAAGUGAAAUCCAUGGGCUCAACCCGUGAACUGCUUUCAAAACUGUUUUUCUUGAGUAGUGCAGAGGUAGGCGGAAUUCCCGGUGUAGCGGUGGAAUGCGUAGAUAUCGGGAGGAACACCAGUGGCGAAGGCGGCCUACUGGGCACCAACUGACGCUGAGGCUCGAAAGUGUGGGUAGCAAACAGG